Molecule: ribosomal RNA, 608 nt
Filed under: uncultured bacterium
Lineage: Bacteria
Description: bacterial SSU rRNA
Rfam family: Bacterial small subunit ribosomal RNA
Source: RNAcentral
CCUACGGGAGGCAGCAGUGAGGAAUAUUGGACAAUGGGCGCAAGCCUGAUCCAGCCAUGCCGCGUGCAGGAAGAAGCAUCUAUGGUGUGUAAACUGCUUUUGUACAGGAAGAAACACUCCCUCGUGAGGGAGCUUGACGGUACUGUAAGAAUAAGGACCGGCUAACUCCGUGCCAGCAGCCGCGGUAAUACGGAGGGUCCGAGCGUUAUCCGGAAUCAUUGGGUUUAAAGGGUCCGUAGGCGGUUUAAUAAGUCAGUGGUGAAAUCUGGUCGCUCAACGAUCAAACGGCCAUUGAUACUGUUAGACUUGAAUUAUAAGGAAGUAACUAGAAUAUGUAGUGUAGCGGUGAAAUGCUUAGAUAUUACAUGGAAUACCAAUUGCGAAGGCAGGUUACUACUUAUGGAUUGACGCUGAUGGACGAAAGCGUGGGGAGCGAACAGGAUUAGAUACCCUGGUAGUCCACGCCGUAAACGAUGGAUACUAGCUGUUCGGAGCAAUCUGAGUGGCUAAGCGAAAGUGAUAAGUAUCCCACCUGGGGAGUACGUUCGCAAGAAUGAAACUCAAAGGAAUUGACGGNNGNGAGNGCGAGGCGACGACGAGGGAGGAGG